This 367-nucleotide small RNA is filed under the name Histoplasma ohiense. RNAcentral describes it as "hypothetical lncRNA". Lineage: Eukaryota; Fungi; Ascomycota; Eurotiomycetes; Onygenales; Ajellomycetaceae. The record is from RNAcentral.
CAUUCUCAUCGUGGCUAGAAUAUCCUGUUAGGCCACUGGGGGCAACACAGCUCGAUCACCACCAGCGGCAUGCCGGUAGUGGAGGGGACGAACCAAUCCAAACCACCAACAUCUCCUUACCACUAGUUAUUUCAACUGUACUGUGCAUGCUGACUAACGGCCACAAACACGAAUAUUCGUGAAAAUACUGUGCUCAGCGUAUGCUGACAUCCACACAAAAAAAAAAAAAAAUACUAGAAUUGAAAAGUCCCAAAGCAGGGAGGAAAGGGGCCUAUAUUGCCUUGUCAAAUUGUAAUGUGGAUCAUCACCCACCACUCACAUUUUCCAGUACAAAUUGCCUCAAGUUUGACACUCAUAUGCCAGCCAC